Molecule: unclassified non-coding RNA, 387 nt
Filed under: soil metagenome
Description: partial contains 5.8S ribosomal RNA, internal transcribed spacer 2, and large subunit ribosomal RNA
Rfam family: 5.8S ribosomal RNA (bases 1-120)
Source: RNAcentral
GAUGAAGAACGUAGCGAAAUGCGAUAAGUAAUGUGAAUUGCAGAAUUCAGUGAAUCAUCGAAUCUUUGAACGCACCUUGCACCCUUUGGUAUUCCGAAGGGUAUGCUCGUUUGAGUGUCAUUGUACUCUCACACUUCUAAUUCCUUUCGGGAUUGGGAGCGGUGGACUUGGGUGUAGCUGCUUUAGUUGUGGCUCACCUCAAAUAAGUUAGUGCAACUCUUGGUUGGACAUAGUACGGCGUGAUAAGUGUCUUCGCCGGCGCCUCUGUAAGGAGGGUGGCCGAUCGGGAGCUCUGUGCUUCAAACCGUCUUCGGACAAUCUUUGACAACUUGACCUCAAAUCGAGUAGGACUACCCGCUGAACUUAAGCAUAUCAAUAAGCGGAGGA